RNAcentral lists this long non-coding RNA (1359 nucleotides) under Medicago truncatula (barrel medic). RNAcentral's name for it is "long non-coding RNA (MTRU_LNC006601)". Lineage: Eukaryota; Viridiplantae; Streptophyta; Magnoliopsida; Fabales; Fabaceae. The record is from RNAcentral.
GCAAAGCAGCCUCCAAAGCCAUAACACAUGAAAUCAUAUCAUCUUUUGAGGGAGGAGGAAGAGGAGGAGAAGAUGGCAGCUGUUGAUCAACGGUAUGCUGGUUGUCAGCUACUUGGCGAUCACCCAUUUGCGAAUUUUAGCCUGGUAAGGGAAAGACGAGAUCAUGAACAUGAUAUAAAAUGAAAUGAAUGCUUGUUAAUUGUUAAGGCUUCAUUUUUCAUGCCAGUAAAGUUUUAAAUAUUAAGUGGUUUGGCCUUUGCUUUUCCUCUACCUAUUAGUAUAAAUUGUCUAUCUACCCUCCUUGCCCAUUCUUUUGCAAGUAUUCUCCACAUAUGCCCUAAUUUGAAAGCAAAAUUGCAUUGUUUAGAGUUUGACACUUUGUCUCUCUAUGAUUAAUCAAGCAUCUUAGAGAGACAUAAAGAUACUCUUUUAAAACCAACAUUGGCGAAGAGACCAAUCAACUAACUAAUUGAAGGGUAGCAUUUAAAAUGUCAUGAAUGAAUUUGGGUGAAAUCAAAACAGUAGCAAAGUGCAGAUCGAAUUAAAGUUGUAUGCAUUACGAUUACGAAAAUAGAUAGAUUGAUGAUUAGAUAAAAUUAGUGAAUUUGGAUUAAUUAUUUAAUGAGAUAAACUCACAGAUCGAUAUGCUCCGAGUGAGGUUCAGCAGCAGAGCUCCGGCGACAAAUCGGACACGGUAACGAUUCGUUGACCAGAAGAAGAAAUAGCUACGAUUGCUAAUCAGAACUGAGAAGAGAGACUGCGAAGAAGAAUCGAGGGAAUAACAAGAACAAGACAGGGGUAAAAUAGGUAUUUCUCAUGGUUCGCUCAUCACUAUCCACCUCGACAAACAAACCUCAUUACGACCGAAACUAAACUGCUUAGUGGUUUGCUUUUUAAGAUAUUUUUGUUAUAUUUACAUAUAAAAAAAAAUUCAUUUUUAGUUCUAAGAGAUUUUUUUUUAGGGAAGUUCUAAGAGAUUAUGCAUACAUAUUUUGACGAAAGGAGAAAAUUUAGGUAUAAUUCCUUAGUUGCUUUUCGUAUGGUUCUUAACUAAAAAUAUAUAUUUUUUGGAUAUAACAAACUUUGAGAAAAUUAUGAAUUUGAGGAAAUCAUGGUGAAUUUAGUUAAAAAACAUACGAAAAGCACUUAAGGAAUUGUACCUAAGUUUUCUCCUUGACGAAAAAAUAAAGCGUGCAUAUGAAAUGACAAGCAUAAAGCAUAUCCAAUUUCUUGCUAAAUGUUUCUUAUUAAAUUUAGUGUUUGUUUGGUAUUACGAUGGACAGUGGCGGAGCCAGACAAAAAAGUUUGGGGUGGCUGCUAUUAAAAAAACUUGAGGAAAAAUCGGGAAAAAAUACAAAG